GGCUACUCCUACGGAGGCAGCAGUGGGGAAUAUUGCACAAUGGGCGAAAGCCUGAUGCAGCGACGCCGCGUGAGGGAUGACGGCCUUCGGGUUGUAAACCUCUUUCAGCAGGGAAGAAGCGAAAGUGACGGUACCUGCAGAAGAAGCGCCGGCUAACUACGUGCCAGCAGCCGCGGUAAUACGUAGGGCGCAAGCGUUGUCCGGAAUUAUUGGGCGUAAAGAGCUCGUAGGCGGCUUGUCGCGUCGGUUGUGAAAGCCCGGGGCUUAACCCCGGGUCUGCAGUCGAUACGGGCAGGCUAGAGUUCGGUAGGGGAGAUCGGAAUUCCUGGUGUAGCGGUGAAAUGCGCAGAUAUCAGGAGGAACCACCGGUGGCGAAGGCGGAUCUCUGGGCCGAUACUGACGCUGAGGAGCGAAAGCGUGGGGAGCGAACAGGAUUAGAUACCCUGGUAGUCCACGCCGUAAACGGUGGGCACUAGGUGUGGGCAACAUUCCACGUUGUCCGUGCCGCAGCUAACGCAUUAAGUGCCCCGCCUGGGGAGUACGGCCGCAAGGCUAAAACUCAAAGGAAUUGACGGGGGCCCGCACAAGCGGCGGAGCAUGUGGCUUAAUUCGACGCAACGCGAAGAACCUUACCAAGGCUUGACAUACACCGGAAACAUCCAGAGUAUGGUGCCCG
RNAcentral lists this ribosomal RNA (676 nucleotides) under Streptomyces sp. RNAcentral's name for it is "bacterial SSU rRNA". It matches the Rfam family "Bacterial small subunit ribosomal RNA", at positions 331 to 1018 of the family's 1533-position model. The record is from RNAcentral. Lineage: Bacteria; Bacillati; Actinomycetota; Actinomycetes; Kitasatosporales; Streptomycetaceae.